Molecule: ribosomal RNA, 452 nt
Filed under: uncultured bacterium
Lineage: Bacteria
Description: bacterial SSU rRNA
Rfam family: Bacterial small subunit ribosomal RNA
Source: RNAcentral
GUGGGGAAUUUUUCGCAAUGGGGGCAACCCUGACGAAGCAACGCCGCGUGGAGGACGAAGGCCCUAGCGGUCGUAAACUCCUGUCUAGCGGGACGAAAAUCUUCACGGUGAAUAAUCGUGGAGGUAGACUGUACCGCUGGAGGAAGCUCCGGCUAACUCCGUGCCAGCAGCCGCGGUAAUACGGGGGGAGCAAGCGUUACUCGGAAUUAUUGGGCGUAAAGGGCGCGUAGGCGGUCCUAUAAGUCUUCUGUGAAAGCCCAGGGCUUAACCUUGGAAGUGCAGGAGAAACUGCAGGAAUUGAGUUCCGGAGAGGAAGGCAGAAUUCCCGGUGUAGCGGUGAAAUGCGUAGAUAUCGGGAGGAAUACCAGUGGCGAAGGCGGCCUUCUGGACGGAUACUGACGCUGAGGCGCGAAAGCUAGGGGAGCAAACGGGAUUAGAUACCCUGGUAGUCC